AACGAACGCUGGCGGCAUGCCUAACACAUGCAAGUCGAACGAGAUCUUCGGGUCUAGUGGCGCACGGGUGCGUAACGCGUGGGAAUCUGCCCUUUGGUUCGGAAUAACAGUUGGAAACGACUGCUAAUACCGGAUGAUGACGAAAGUCCAAAGAUUUAUCGCCAGAGGAUGAGCCCGCGUAGGAUUAGCUAGUUGGUGUGGUAAAGGCGCACCAAGGCGACGAUCCUUAGCUGGCCUGAGAGGAUGAUCAGGCAGACUGGGACUGAGACACGGCCCAGAAUCCGACGAGAGGGAGAGGUGGGGAAGAUUGGAAAAUGGGCGAACGCCUGAGCCAGCAAUGCCGCGUGAGUGAUGGAGGCCUUAGGGUUGGAAAGCUCUUUUACGCGGAAUGAUAAUGACAGUACCGGGAGAAUAAGCUCCGGCUAACUCCGUGCCAGCAGCCGCCGUAA
This 449-nucleotide ribosomal RNA is filed under the name uncultured bacterium. RNAcentral's name for it is "partial 16S ribosomal RNA". It matches the Rfam family "Bacterial small subunit ribosomal RNA", at positions 29 to 523 of the family's 1533-position model. The record is from RNAcentral.